RNAcentral lists this unclassified non-coding RNA (334 nucleotides) under soil metagenome. RNAcentral describes it as "partial contains 5.8S ribosomal RNA, internal transcribed spacer 2, and large subunit ribosomal RNA". The stretch from base 1 to 120 matches the Rfam family "5.8S ribosomal RNA", at positions 35 to 154 of the family's 154-position model. The record is from RNAcentral.
GAUGAAGAACGUAGCGAAAUGCGAUAAGUAAUGUGAAUUGCAGAAUUCAGUGAAUCAUCGAAUCUUUGAACGCACAUUGCGCCCGCCAGUAUUCUGGCGAGCAUGCCUGUUCGAGCGUCAUUUCAACCAUCAAGCCCCAGGCUUGUGUUGGAGCCCUGCGGCUGCCGCAGCCUCCCAAAACCAGUGGCGGGCUCGCUAUCACACCGAGUGCAGUAGUUUACUCUUCGCUCAGGGCGUGUGGCGGGUGCUAGCCGUGAAACCCCCAACUUCUCUAGGUUGACCUCGGAUCAGGUAGGAAAACCCGCUGAACUUAAGCAUAUCAAUAAGCGGAGGA